Molecule: ribosomal RNA, 253 nt
Filed under: uncultured bacterium
Lineage: Bacteria
Description: partial 16S ribosomal RNA
Rfam family: Bacterial small subunit ribosomal RNA
Source: RNAcentral
UACGAAGGGGGCUAGCGUUGCUCGGAAUGACUGGGCGUAAAGGGCGCGUAGGCGGAUUGCUUUGUCAGACGUGAAAUUCCAGGGCUCAACCUUGGGGCUGCGUUUGAGACGGGUGAUCUUGAGUUCGGAAGAGGGUCGUGGAAUUCCCAGUGUAGAGGUGAAAUUCGUAGAUAUUGGGAAGAACACCGGUGGCGAAGGCGGCGACCUGGUCCGGUACUGACGCUGAGGUGCGAAAGCGUGGGGAGCAAACAGG